This 253-nucleotide ribosomal RNA is filed under the name uncultured bacterium. RNAcentral describes it as "partial 16S ribosomal RNA". It matches the Rfam family "Bacterial small subunit ribosomal RNA", at positions 524 to 776 of the family's 1533-position model. The record is from RNAcentral.
UACAGGGGGUGCAAACGUUGCUCGGAAUCAUUGGGCGUAAAGCGCACGUAGGCGGUUCGUUAUGUCGGAUGUGAAAGCCCUUGGCUUAACCGAGGAAGUGCACCCGAAACUGGCGAGCUAGAGUACUAAAGAGGAUCGCGGAAUUCCCGGUGUAGAGGUGAAAUUCGUAGAUAUCGGGAGGAACACCAGUGGCGAAGGCGGCGAUCUGGGAAGAUACUGACGCUGAGGUGCGAAAGCGUGGGGAGCAAACAGG